CAAUUAGGUAGUCUAAGGAGGAUGUGGGCUUUGGGGGCCUGAGGUCUCUUUGUUGAGUCGGUUGA
Molecule: transfer RNA, 65 nt
Filed under: Amphimerus sp. JM-2019
Lineage: Eukaryota; Metazoa; Platyhelminthes; Trematoda; Opisthorchiida; Opisthorchiidae
Description: tRNA-Pro
Source: RNAcentral